This is a non-coding RNA of Thermosediminibacter oceani DSM 16646, 30 nucleotides long. The record is from Rfam. Lineage: Bacteria; Bacillati; Bacillota; Clostridia; Thermosediminibacterales; Thermosediminibacteraceae.
GUUUCAAUCCCUUAUAGGUAGACUAAGAAC